This 468-nucleotide ribosomal RNA is filed under the name uncultured bacterium. RNAcentral describes it as "partial 16S ribosomal RNA". It matches the Rfam family "Bacterial small subunit ribosomal RNA", at positions 28 to 507 of the family's 1533-position model. The record is from RNAcentral.
GACGAACGCUGGCGGCGCGCCUAACACAUGCAAGUCGAACGGAGCUGCGAGAAGCUUGCUUUUCUUAGCUUAGUGGCGAACGGGUGAGUAACGCGUGAGUAACCUGCCCUGGAGUGGGGGACAACAGUUGGAAACGACUGCUAAUACCGCAUAAGCCCACGAUCCGGCAUCGGAUUGAGGGAAAAGGAUUUAUUCGCUUCAGGAUGGACUCGCGUCCAAUUAGCUAGUUGGUGAGGUAACGGCCCACCAAGGCGACGAUUGGUAGCCGGACUGAGAGGUUGAACGGCCACAUUGGGACUGAGACACGGCCCAGACUCCUACGGGAAGCAGCAGUGGGGGAUAUUGCACAAUGGGGGAAACCCUGAUGCAGCGACGCCGCGUGGAGGAAGAAGGUUUUCGGAUUGUAAACUCCUGUCGUUAGGGACGAUAAUGACGGUACCUAACAAGAAAGCACCGGCUAACUACGUG